RNAcentral lists this ribosomal RNA (497 nucleotides) under uncultured bacterium. RNAcentral's name for it is "partial 16S ribosomal RNA". It matches the Rfam family "Bacterial small subunit ribosomal RNA", at positions 28 to 507 of the family's 1533-position model. The record is from RNAcentral.
GACGAACGCUGGCGGCGUGCCUAAUACAUGCAAGUCGAACGCUGAAGCUUGGUGCUUGCACCGAGCGGAUGAGUUGCGAACGGGUGAGUAACGCGUAGGUAACCUGCCUGGUAGCGGGGGAUAACUAUUGGAAACGAUAGCUAAUACCGCAUAACAGUAGAUAUCGCAUGAUAGCUACUUGAAAGGUGCAAAUGCACCACUACCAGAUGGACCUGCGUUGUAUUAGCUAGUUGGUGAGGUAACGGCUCACCAAGGCAACGAUACAUAGCCGACCUGAGAGGGUGAUCGGCCACACUGGGACUGAGACACGGCCCAGACUCCUACGGGAGGCAGCAGUAGGGAAUCUUCGGCAAUGGACGGAAGUCUGACCGAGCAACGCCGCGUGAGUGAAGAAGGGUUUCGGAUCGUAAAGCUCUGUUGUAAGAGAAGAACGAGUGUGAGAGUGGAAAGUUCACACUGUGACGGUAUCUUACCAGAAAGGGACGGCUAACUACGUG